UGCUUUACGAGUACAUGAAGCAUAGAUCCUUGGCAGAAAAUCUCUCUACUAAAACACUUGAUUAGGAAAAGAGGCUUGAAAUUGCCUUGGGUAUAGCCAAGGGCCUUUCCUGUUUACAUGAAGAGUGUUUAGAGUGGGUUCUAAAGUGUGAUGUAAAGCCUCAAAAUACAGUCCUAGACUGUGAUUACCAGCCAAAGGUGUCAGAUUUUGGC
Molecule: unclassified non-coding RNA, 212 nt
Filed under: Hevea brasiliensis (rubber tree)
Lineage: Eukaryota; Viridiplantae; Streptophyta; Magnoliopsida; Malpighiales; Euphorbiaceae
Source: RNAcentral